GCAAACUUGGUCAUUUAGAGGAAGUAAAAGUCGUAACAAGGUUUCCGUAGGUGAACCUGCGGAAGGAUCAUUCAUAAUAGAGUGUUUUAUGGCACUCUAAAAAAAAAUCCAUAUCCACCUUGUGUGAAAUGUUAAUCCUUGUCGUUUGACGAGGUUUUUUAUAUCAACUCUUUAUUAUUAUUAUUAAUUAUUAUCUGUAAAACGUUAUGAAUUUACUUAAUUCAAAACACAACUUUCAACAACGGAUCUCUUGGCUCUCGCAUCGAUGAAGAACGCAGC
This 279-nucleotide unclassified non-coding RNA is filed under the name uncultured fungus. Its description in RNAcentral is "partial contains small subunit ribosomal RNA, internal transcribed spacer 1, and 5.8S ribosomal RNA". The stretch from base 1 to 73 matches the Rfam family "Eukaryotic small subunit ribosomal RNA", at positions 1759 to 1831 of the family's 1831-position model. The record is from RNAcentral. Lineage: Eukaryota; Fungi.